Schistocerca gregaria is the source of this 1669-nucleotide RNA transcript. It is a transcript of the gene named putative zinc finger protein 355P, with no coding region annotated. Lineage: Eukaryota; Metazoa; Arthropoda; Insecta; Orthoptera; Acrididae. The record is from RefSeq and is a predicted model, not a curated record. The transcript is spliced from 4 exons.
UUACAGUGUUGUUUGGUGUAAAUGUUUGUGUUGUGCUUUUGUUUUAAAUAAAGUGAGCGGAGGUUUCCGAAGACGCUCAAGAUGAUUUGAAGCUUAGGCGGAUAAAUGCAAGAUACAACUGCUUUUGGCAUUCCAGCAUGGCAUCACCAGGCUCUCUACGGUGAAAAACUGGCAGAGCUUAUAUUGCCAGACAAACUAUCAAUCCAAAAUCAAACCAGUAUUUUCACAUGACAGGACCAUGCCACUUAGAAGGUGCAUGGUUCAGUAACACAGGAAGCACAGCAGUGUGGCACAGUUCUGCAUCAAGGUCACAUUUUCUCAUUGAACAUUCCAUGCUGUGAUUCUGUGGCACCAUUGAGAGCAAUAUCCUACCAGCAGAGCUCACAGUGGAAAAACACAUGGAAAACAAUUCCAAAGUCUAGGCAGCCAGGGGAAUUUGUGUGUCGUAUGUGUGGCAAAGUGUACAGGUAUCAGCGGAAUUUGGCAAGUCACAUCAAACAUGAAUGUGGAAAGGAACCUCAAUUUCGCUGUCCAUAUUGUACAUUACGUUACACUCAGAAUGGUGCAUUAAGGAGUCACAUUAGAAGAUACCAUGAAGCAGAUUGCAACAUAAGAUGAUAGUGUACUGCUGGACGUGAUGGUUGCAAUGCCGUGGACAGAUACUGAUAUACUGCAACACACCAUUUUACUCUUUUCAAACCAAAUCUAGUAUCUUUGUCAUCUAAUUUGUGUGCCACAUUUUGUCCAGAGACUUCUCAGUACUCUCGUAUCUUCUUUUUGUGUACUCAUAAAUGUUGUGAGCAAUAAAUUCUUUUCUUGCCAUGUGGCUUAUUAGACAUCCAACAAUUUUCACAUUCAGUGCUGGCAUUCACAAUUUUUUGUUACCUGUUCUAGCCAGUCUCAAGUGAUAGAGCCUAAUCAACAUUAAUUCUAUAUUUCACUAAUUUUUCUAUUUCCAAUACAUAAUAGAUAUCUUUUGUAAGGAUGCUUCAUUUUGCUGUACCUAACUUUUAUGACUUUACUACCAAUUCGGUUACAUUUUUUUGUAAUUCUUCUGUUGUCUUUCUCUGUCAGAUGCAUUAUCUUAUUCUAAAUUAUCAUUUUUUUCGUAUGAUGCUUACUUAGAUCCUUAUAAGUAAUUUAUGUUGGGGAAACUUCACUUUAUUUGAAACAAUUUUUUCUAAUUCUAUUAAGUGGCUCAUCCCUUCAGGUUUCCACUUUCUUAUUGAUUUUCUAUUUGUUAUGUUGUGGUCUUAUUCUCUGUGUACCUUAAUCAUUAUGAGCUCUCAAUUACGUUUCUAAGUUAGUUAUCAGGUGGCAUUUAAAGUAUCUUCAAAAUGUUUUAAAAUUUGCAUGUUGUUCAGUAAUUAAGUGAGACUAAAUGAAAUUUCAGAAAUUUGAAGCAUGUACUGAAAGAACAAUUCCAUAAUGUCCAGUAUUUUUUUUUAUAUCCCACUCUACAAUACAAUAUUUUGAGUGAACAAUUCUUAUCUGUUUCUUUUCUAAUCUUAUAAAUAUGAUGUCUGCAUGAAAGAACAAUUAACAAUGGUAGUAGUAUGUCCACCCCUUGUACCUGUUGUCAUUUUGUGUUAUGUACAUAGGCAGCAUUCUGUCACGUUAUAUGUAGUUUAUGUUGUAUGUAAAUAAAUACUGCUGUGCCUAUAACUAA